UUUAGGGUGGCAGAGCCAGGUAUAAAUGCAAGAGGCCUAAGCCCUCUCCCCCAGAAGUUCAAACCUUCUCCCUAAUA
Molecule: transfer RNA, 77 nt
Filed under: Lucasium damaeum (beaded gecko)
Lineage: Eukaryota; Metazoa; Chordata; Lepidosauria; Squamata; Diplodactylidae
Description: tRNA-Leu
Source: RNAcentral